GCGGAAGUGGCGGAAUUGGUAGACGCACCAGAUUUAGGUUCUGGCGCCGCAAGGUGUGAGAGUUAAAGUCUCUCCUUCCGCACCA
RNAcentral lists this transfer RNA (85 nucleotides) under Vibrio parahaemolyticus. RNAcentral's name for it is "tRNA-Leu". It matches the Rfam family "tRNA". Rfam says of the family: Transfer RNA (tRNA) molecules are approximately 80 nucleotides in length. Their secondary structure includes four short double-helical elements and three loops (D, anti-codon, and T loops). Lineage: Bacteria; Pseudomonadati; Pseudomonadota; Gammaproteobacteria; Vibrionales; Vibrionaceae. The record is from RNAcentral.